Molecule: ribosomal RNA, 253 nt
Filed under: uncultured bacterium
Lineage: Bacteria
Description: partial 16S ribosomal RNA
Rfam family: Bacterial small subunit ribosomal RNA
Source: RNAcentral
UACAGAGGGUGCAAACGUUGCUCGGAAUCAUUGGGCGUAAAGCGCACGUAGGCGGCCUAGCAAGUAGGGAGUGAAAGCCCUCGGCUUAACCGAGGAAGUGCUUUCUAAACUACUAGGCUUGAAUACCGUGGAGGUCAGCGGAAUAUGUCAUGUAGCGGUGAAAUGCUUAGAUAUGACAUAGAACACCAAUUGCGAAGGCAGCUGGCUACGCGAAUAUUGACACUGAUGCACGAAAGCUGGGGGAGCAAACAGG